GACCUACCCCGUAGCUAUGUGUUACGGCAAGGUCGAAAAUCGUUAGGUACAGAGAACCCGUCAUUCAGGGCGUACCUAACGUUAUAGGGGGAAACUCCUAUAAGGCCGCAAGGCCU
Molecule: small RNA, 116 nt
Filed under: unclassified sequences
Description: LOOT RNA
Rfam family: LOOT RNA
About the family: Latescibacteria, OD1/Parcubacteria, OP11, TM7. Lineage (Microgenomates, aka OP11)
Source: Rfam by way of RNAcentral